RNAcentral lists this ribosomal RNA (452 nucleotides) under uncultured bacterium. RNAcentral's name for it is "bacterial SSU rRNA". It matches the Rfam family "Bacterial small subunit ribosomal RNA", at positions 28 to 484 of the family's 1533-position model. The record is from RNAcentral.
GACGAACGCUGGCGGCGUGCUUAACACAUGCAAGUCGAGCGGUAAGGCCCUUUCGGGGGUACACGAGCGGCGAACGGGUGAGUAACACGUGGGUGACCUGCCCUCAGCUCUGGGAUAAGCCUGGGAAACCGGGUCUAAUACCGGAUAUGACUCCAUGACGCAUGUUGUGGGGUGGAAAGCCUUGUGCGGCUGAGGAUGGGCCCGCGGCCUAUCAGCUUGUUGGUGGGGNGAUGGCCUACCAAGGCGACGACGGGUAGCCGGCCUGAGAGGGCGACCGGCCACACUGGGACUGAGACACGGCCCAGACUCCUACGGGAGGCAGCAGUGGGGAAUCUUGCGCAAUGGGCGAAAGCCUGACGCAGCGACGCCGCGUGAGGGAUGAAGGUCUCGGAUUGUAAACCCCUUUCGGGAGGGAGACGGCCUUAGACAACUAAGGCGGACGGUACCUCCAG